Molecule: ribosomal RNA, 274 nt
Filed under: uncultured bacterium
Lineage: Bacteria
Description: partial 16S ribosomal RNA
Rfam family: Bacterial small subunit ribosomal RNA
Source: RNAcentral
AUACGGAGGGUGCAAGCGUUAUGCGGAAUCAUUGGGUUUAAAGGGUCCGUAGGCGGGCUAAUAAGUCAGGGGUGAAAUCCCACAGCUUAACUGUGGAACUGCCCUUGAUACUGUUGGUCUUGAGUUACAGUGAAGUGGUUAGAAUGUGUAGUGUAGCGGUGAAAUGCAUAGAGAAUACACAGAAUACCGAUUGCGAAGGCAGAUCACUAACUGUAUACUGACGCUAAUGGACGAAAGCGUGGGGAGCGAACAGGAUUAGAAACCCCAGUAGUCC